This 1179-nucleotide long non-coding RNA is filed under the name Camarhynchus parvulus. Its description in RNAcentral is "lncRNA (ENSCPVG00000017102.1)". The record is from RNAcentral. Lineage: Eukaryota; Metazoa; Chordata; Aves; Passeriformes; Thraupidae.
AUGUGCUGUCCCCAAAGUGUCCCUCCAGCACCUGCAAUGGCUCUGACAGGGUCCAAUCACACCUUUCUGGGGACCCCCAGAGCCAUCCAGGAUGUCACACACACUCCUGGGGACCCCCAGAGCCAUCCCUGCUCUCCAGGAUGUCACACACACAUUCCAGGGGACCCCUUGGGACAUCCCUGCUCUCCAGGAUGUCACACACACACCUGGGGACCCCCAGAGCCAUCCCUGCUCUCCAGGAUGUCACACACACACCUGGGGACCCCCAGAGCCAUCCCUCAUCUCCAGGGUAUCACACACUCACUCCUGGGGACCCCCAGAGCCAUCCAGGAUGUACACACACACUCCUGGGGACCCCCAGCAGUCCAUCCAGGAUGUCACACACACUCCAGGGGACACUUGGGACAUCCCCACUCUCUCCAGGAUGUCACACACACACUUCAGGGGACCCCCAGAUCAGUCCCCCAUCCCCAGGAUGUCACACACAUUCCUGGGGACCCUUGGGACAUCCCCACUCUCUCCAGGAUGUCACACACACACCUGGGGACCCCCAGAGCCAUCCCCCAGGAUGUCAUACACACACAUUCAUGGGGACCCCCAGAGCAAUCCCUGCUCUCCAGGAUGUCACACACAUUCCUGGGGACCCCCAGAGCCAUCCCCCCUCUCCAGGAUGUCACACACACUCCAGGGGACACCUGGAACAUCCCCACCCUCCCCAGGAUGUCACACACAUUCCUGGGGACCCCUGGAACAUCCCCACCCUCUCCUGGGAUGUCACACACAUUCAGAUUCAGGGGACCCCUGGGAUUUGGAACAGCCCCACAGGGGGGCUGGGAUCUGCCAGGAGUGGCAUCAGCAGAAGCUGGGAUUCAGGAGAAGCUGGGAUUUUUGAGAGGCUGGGAUUCAGGAGAAGCUGGGAUUCAGGAAAAGCUGGGAUUCAGGAGAGGGUGGGAUGGAGAAGGUGGGAUUCAGGAGAGGCUGGGAUUUGUGAGAGGUUGGGAUUCAGCAGAAGCUGGGAUUCAGGAAAAGCUGGGAUUCGGGAGAGGCUGGGAUUCAGGAAAAGUGGGGAUUCAGGAGGCUGGGAUUCAGGAGAGGCUGGGAUUUGUGAGAAGCUGGGGGAGAGGCUGGGAUCUGUUUUGGCUCCAAAGGGGGUUUGACACGAGGGUGACAUCCCUGUGA